AUGGUGGAGAAGCUGCUGCGGCCGCUGCGCGCGCUGUCCACAACCAACAUGCUGGCCGAGUACUACCGGCUCCAGCGCCGCCUGCUGGGGAGCCCCCGCGAAUACCAUGCUGUGGUGGCCGGGGCCAGGUACAUGGUGACCUUCGAUGGCCAGGUGUGGAGCCUUGGUGUCCACUGCAGCAGUCUGCUGCUGGCCAAGGACUUUGCCCACGACACGUUCUCGCUGAUGCUGAACCAGGCCCCCUCGGGGCUCCUGUCGCUGUCCGUGGAGCUGAACGGCACUACCCUGGUCCUCUACCCGAGCCUGAAGACCUACAGGCUGUAUGACUCCCCCCUGCCUACGGAGACCUGUCCACACAUUGAUCCGCCUCCUGCCACGACGAGGAGGGAUGUCCCCAGGAUUGAGCUGACCAGUGAGGAUGGCGUCUCAGUCUCCUGUGAUGUGCGAGCUGGCCUCUGCAGGCUCACGCUAGGCCUCUGGCUCCACGGGGUGUCUGCUGGCCUUCUGGGCACCAAUGACAACGAGGCAGCCACUGAGCUGAUGCUGCCGGAUGGCACAGUGGCCCACAGCCUGGAGGAGCUCGCCCUCGCCUGGCAGGUGGGUGGCAACUGCACGGCCAUGGAGAAAACUCAGGAGUGCCCAGGCCAGAGCCCCACCUGCUGGGCCUUCUUCCAGGACCCCCGUUCCUGCCUGGGGAGCUGCUUCAGGGUGGUGGAUCCCACGCCAUUCCUCCGCCUCUGCAUCCAGGACGCCUGCGGCCCCCGCGAGCUGCUCCCGGCCUGCACCCUGGCAGCCACCUACAUCCACCUGUGUGCACGGGCCUUCGUGCCCCUGGACCCUCCUCCACAGUGCGUUUGA
This 858-nucleotide long non-coding RNA is filed under the name Ailuropoda melanoleuca (giant panda). Its description in RNAcentral is "lncRNA (ENSAMEG00000028812.1)". Lineage: Eukaryota; Metazoa; Chordata; Mammalia; Carnivora; Ursidae. The record is from RNAcentral.